CCUACGGGUGGCAGCAGUGAGGACUAUUGGUCAAUGGCCGGAAGGCUGAACCAGCCCUGCCGCGUGAAGGUCAGUGCCCUAUGGGCGUUAAACUUCUUUUGUGCGGGAGCAAUAAUGGUCACGUGUGGCCCGACGAGAGUACCGUACGAAUAAGCAUCGGCUAACUCCGUGCCAGCAGCCGCGGUAAUACGGGGGAUGCAAGCGUUAUCCGGAUUUAUUGGGUGUAAAGGGUGCUUAGGCUGUGAGGUAAGUCAGCGGUGAAAUGCCCCCGCUCAACGGGGUGAAGUGCCAUUGAUACUGCCUGGCUGGAAUGCGGAGGCCGUGGGAGGAAUGUGUGGUGUAGCGGGGAAAUGCAUAGAGAUCACACAGAACACCGAUUGCGAAGGCAUCUCACGAAUCCGCGAUUGACGCUGAUGCACGAAAGCGUGGGUAUCAAACAGGAUUAGAUACCCGGGUAGUC
This 460-nucleotide ribosomal RNA is filed under the name uncultured bacterium. RNAcentral's name for it is "partial 16S ribosomal RNA". It matches the Rfam family "Bacterial small subunit ribosomal RNA", at positions 338 to 795 of the family's 1533-position model. The record is from RNAcentral.